GGUGAGGUAACCUUUUUGGAGCCAGCCGCCUAAGGUGGGAUAGAUGAUUGGGGUGAAGUCGUAACAAGGUAGCCGUAUCGGAAGGUGCGGCUGGAUCACCUCCUUUCUAAGGAA
Molecule: ribosomal RNA, 114 nt
Filed under: Enterococcus faecium
Lineage: Bacteria; Bacillati; Bacillota; Bacilli; Lactobacillales; Enterococcaceae
Description: partial 16S ribosomal RNA
Rfam family: Bacterial small subunit ribosomal RNA
Source: RNAcentral